CUUGGACUGUCGUGCGGCGCCCAGGGCUUCUGCCCUCGGUCCUCCGCGGAGCGGCCCCCAGCAGCCAGUUCGUACCAGGAACUGGACUGAAAUGUUGCGAGCAAGGCCUCUGCAGGCGACACCCUUUGAGCAAGUGAAACUAGGCUAAGCACAAAGGAAAGGAAAAAAAGGGAGGAUAACUGAUGCUGUGCACUGCAGGAAAGGAACAGAAGGAGAAACGAACAAGGUCACCAUGAAGAUGAAGUGAGGCUGUGGUAAUAACCAUUUUCCCC
Molecule: non-coding RNA, 272 nt
Organism: Vicugna pacos (alpaca)
Lineage: Eukaryota; Metazoa; Chordata; Mammalia; Artiodactyla; Camelidae
Source: RefSeq, a predicted model, not a curated record